UUGUACUAAUCGGGCGGAAGUUGGUUCUAGGAAACACCUUCGAAAUGCCAUUUCUGACCUUUAUUCCUCUUCCGGAAAUUUCGAGUUGGGAAUCAAGGUUGGGGGUUGGCCUGAGGGGAGGAGUCGACGCCUCUGGGAGGUUCCGGGUCGGCACUGUUAGGUGGUUGAGACUCAAACGUGUGCUAAAGAAGUGGGAAUUGUGGCAUUUACGCAAAAGCUAAGACUCCCAGGGAGAGGAAAAUAAAAAGCAAUCUCUACACUCAGUGUGAGGCUUGAACUCAGGACCUGGAGAUCAAGAGUCACAAGCUCUACUAACUGAGCCAGCUAGGCCCCCCGCUACUCCUAUCUAUAUUUCCUGUUCUCUCCUGUCUCAGAGGGAGAGGAAGAGCUGAAGCAGACUCCCCACUGAGCACGAAGCCUGGAGCAAUGUGAAGCCAGGAGGGAGGGGCUUGAUCUCAUGACCCUGAGAUAAGACCUGAGCUGAAACCAAGUCGCCCAACUGAGUCAACCAGCUACAGAAACCAUUUGUGUGGCCUGUGAAUUUGUACAGAAUACACAGGACAGAGAGGAGAUGGCGCCUAGUAGGUCAACCACAAAAUAGGGCCAGCCAGGCACCCCAUGAGGUCUUGAAGAAGUAAGAAAACUCACUGUGCUUCCAGAGGAGUUGGAAGGCUGCUGAGCAGAACUCUGAAAUAAACAAGAUACUGACCAAGCAGAUCUCUCUGGAGCCUGUCGAGGAUGGGAAGACAUAGUCUGAGGCACAUGAAUAUGAUGCCCAUGACCAUAGUUUGGGUGCAUCCUAUGUGGAUGGGGUGGGGGCCGUUCAUGUGCCCGCCUGGAAACACAGAACACAAAAAGACCACUGGAAAUAAUUGAAUAAUUGGUUAUUUCUUAAUGUAGAAAAAACAAUCUAGUAUUAUUAUAAACAGAUAUAAAUAAGUAAUAAAAUUACUUCUAUAAGAAUAUAAAAUUAUAUAAUGAUUAAUAAAUAAAUCAAGACACCGUAACACUACAAUUCUCAGUGCUUAUUACCAUACCUUCAAUUCAAGUAUCACCCAACGAAAAAGGCAAUUUUAACAUUAUCUUGUAUACCUUCUUUAUAGUGGGUAUUUUAAACAGAUUAAAGGAAAAUCAAUGGGAAGAAAAUUUUAAAAAACACCCCAGCAAAUGCUGUAGGCACAAAGAAGUUAUCUUAUAUAGACAUAUAAUGGAAGAAAAUGGAAACCAUUUUGCUUUGCUUCUACAUUGUAAUGACAUUCAUCCACUAUAAUGGCUAAAACUUAUUUUAAGAGAAAAAACGUUGAACCUUGUGCAUGCAAAUACAUGUCAACACAUCUGGGAAACUGAUAUAAGCUCCAUUCACACUCUUUACUCUGCAUCCCAGAUUAUUGUAUUUUCUCUUUUUAGUCUAAAGUCAGCCAAAUUUAUAAAUAUAAAUAGUCAUAAAGGUCUAAACAAAUAGCACUUAAAAAACAAAACCAUUCCAGAGAUUCAUUUUUACUAUCUAAUCUCCUAUUUUCUAUCCGUUUCUAAUCCACUUACAGAUUUCGCAUGUUUAAGCUAAAUGAUUUAAAGAUUUUCUAGGCACUGGCAGGGUCACCAAUUUUAACAUGAAUCUCUACUAUGGGAUGCUGAAGAAACUGACAAACAAGAAACUGAUUUACAAAAAUAAAUGACCCUGGGCCAUUUCCUGAAAAUGGUUUGAUUUCUUUAACUAACCUGGUAUCAACUUGUUUUGUGAGCACCUGCAACUCAGGACAAGAUAAAGGAAGAUUCUAGUUAGUAAAGAAUUCCCUAGGAUUUAGUACAGUUAUAUCACUUCUAAAGAUUUUUAAUUUUAAAAACCAACAGAAAUAGAAGGAAAAGGAACACAAAGUGAUCUUUUAAAAAAACAAGAAACCUACGUUGGAUGCUGCAUCAUCCUCCUCCUUUGAACUUCCAUCCUCUGCAUCACUUCAUGAGGAUGCAGCCUCUGCGCUGGAGGUGCUGUGGCUGGAAUAUGGUGUGAAAUUGGCUGGUGUGUGGGAGGAAGAUGCUGAGGGAUUGGUGCGGCCGUACUGGCUAAAUGAGUUGGGGGUGGGGGUGCCACGGGGUGAGAAGUUGCAUGAGAAGAUAUCUGAGAAUGGAAAGCAUGUACAGGAUGAGGAAUAACAUAAUCCACUUGAGGUGGAGGCUGAGUCGGAGGAGGAGGGUUUCCAUGAGAAUGGGGACAGGCAGAGGCUUGAUGAUGAAGUGGUCUUGUCAAAGAAGCAUCUGUUAAAAAAAAAAAAAUACAGGCACCACACCGUU
This is a long non-coding RNA of Mustela lutreola (European mink), 2289 nucleotides long. RefSeq lists it as uncharacterized. NCBI's taxonomy places the organism in Eukaryota, Metazoa, Chordata, Mammalia, Carnivora, Mustelidae. The transcript has 7 exons. The record is from RefSeq and is a predicted model, not a curated record.